Molecule: ribosomal RNA, 491 nt
Filed under: uncultured bacterium
Lineage: Bacteria
Description: partial 16S ribosomal RNA
Rfam family: Bacterial small subunit ribosomal RNA
Source: RNAcentral
AGUGAACGCUGGCGGUAGGCCUAACACAUGCAAGUCGAACGGCAGCACAGUAAGAGCCUGCUCUUACGGGUGGCGAGUGGCGGACGGGUGAGGAAUACAUCGGAAUCUACUUUUUCGUGGGGGAUAACGUAGGGAAACUUACGCUAAUACCGCAUACGACCUACGGGUGAAAGCAGGGGAUCUUCGGACCUUGCGCGAUUGAAUGAGCCGAUGUCGGAUUAGCUAGUUGGCGGGGUAAAGGCCCACCAAGGCGACGAUCCGUAGCUGGUCUGAGAGGAUGAUCAGCCACACUGGAACUGAGACACGGUCCAGACUCCUACGGGAGGCAGCAGUGGGGAAUAUUGGACAAUGGGCGCAAGCCUGAUCCAGCCAUACCGCGUGGGUGAAGAAGGCCUUCGGGUUGUAAAGCCCUUUUGUUGGGAAAGAAAAGCAGCAGGUUAAUACCCCGCUGUUUUGACGGUACCCAAAGAAUAAGCACCGGCUAACUUCGU